UUUAUAAAACAAUUUAAGGAGGCUCGAGGGUAUAAAAAUUUCAGAAAAAAAUCAAACAUUUGUUUUUCAUUACAAAUUUUAUUUAUUUCCUUUUGUAAUUGUUACUUUAUCAUAUGGUACAAAAAUCUUUCAAAACAAUCAAUUCGUGUUGGCCCCAGAUGACUUUUAAAAUGUAUACAUUAUUGAAAAAGUUCCAAAUUAUCUCCCUUUGGUGGAAAAAUGCCAUUUUUUUUGCUUUAAAAUUGAAAUAUCUUUUUCAUCUCAUCGGUGACCUAUCUUUUUUAAUAUAAUUUCCAUAUAAGCUGUACUUAAACUAAAUCAUUGUAAAAUUUGAGCGAUUUCUGUAAUAAAUUUCUUUUUUUAUUUCGAUAUUUACCUUUAUUUCUCCUAUUACUUCAACAGAAAAAAAAAACACCUUUACAAAAAUGUAUGCUUCUUUCGAAGGCAGAUUGUGAGCGCAAAUGAACGGUGACCCCACUUUUUUAUUUUAUUUUUCUAUUAACUAUAAGAUAAAGUUCAUUUAUAGAAAAAUAUAGAGAAAUCCUAUAUAAAUGAUUUAGACCCGCGAACCCCCUUAAUUAGAUUAUU
This 588-nucleotide long non-coding RNA is filed under the name Mytilus galloprovincialis (Mediterranean mussel). Lineage: Eukaryota; Metazoa; Mollusca; Bivalvia; Mytilida; Mytilidae. The record is from RNAcentral.